AUGGUACAAAGAAAAAAGAGCGGUGGACAAAAUAAUUGCCCCAAAAUAUUAGGGUAUCCUGCAUCUUUUGAACGUUAGGGUACCCUACAUGAAAUGGGGCAGUGAAGAGUUUGAAGUUUUAAGUGUGUUUGUGGUGAGUGCUUGUUGGUUGAAAGUGGUGGAACAACCAUUUUGCCUUGUAUAGUUAAACUGUUUCUUAUAAUGCGAAUUAAUACUUGUUUAAAGAUAAU
Molecule: unclassified non-coding RNA, 230 nt
Filed under: Hevea brasiliensis (rubber tree)
Lineage: Eukaryota; Viridiplantae; Streptophyta; Magnoliopsida; Malpighiales; Euphorbiaceae
Source: RNAcentral